AUUACUCCUACGGGAGGCAGCAGUAGGGAAUCUUCCGCAAUGGACGAAAGUCUGACGGAGCAACGCCGCGUGAGUGAUGAAGGCUUUCGGGUCGUAAAACUCUGUUGUUAGGGAAGAACAAGUGCUAGUUGAAUAAGCUGGCACCUUGACGGUACCUAACCAGAAAGCCACGGCUAACUACGUGCCAGCAGCCGCGGUAAUAAU
RNAcentral lists this ribosomal RNA (204 nucleotides) under uncultured bacterium. RNAcentral's name for it is "partial 16S ribosomal RNA". It matches the Rfam family "Bacterial small subunit ribosomal RNA", at positions 332 to 526 of the family's 1533-position model. The record is from RNAcentral.